GAUGAACGCUGGCGGCGUGCCUAAUACAUGCAAGUCGAGCGGACCAAAGAGAGCUUGCUCUCUGAGGUUAGCGGCGGACAGGUGAGUAACACGUGGGUAACCUGCCUGUAAGACGGGGAUAACUUCGGGAAACCGAAGCUAAUACCGGAUGAUAAAGAGAAACGCCUGUUUCUUUUUUGAAAGUCGGCCUUGUGCUGACGCUUACAGAUGGGCCCGCGGCGCAUUAGCUAGUUGGUGAGGUAACAGCUCACCAAGGCGACGAUGCGUGGCCGACCUGGGAGGGUGAUCGGCCACAGUGGGACUGAGACACGGCCCAGACUCCUACGGGAGGCAGCAGUAGGGAAUCUUCGGCAAUGGACGAAAGUCUGACUGAGCAACGCCGCGUGAGCGAUGAAGGCCUUCGGGUCGUAAAGCUCUGUUGUCAGAGAAGAACAAGUACCGGAGUAACUGCCGGUACCUUGACGGUACCUGACCAGAAAGCCACGGCUAACUACGUGCCAGCCGCCGCAGUAA
Molecule: ribosomal RNA, 513 nt
Filed under: uncultured bacterium
Lineage: Bacteria
Description: partial 16S ribosomal RNA
Rfam family: Bacterial small subunit ribosomal RNA
Source: RNAcentral